GACAGAGGGUGCAAACGUUGUUCGGAACCACUGGGCGUAAAGGGCGCGUAGGCGGGACGCCAAGUCGGUCGUGAAAUCUCCGGGCUCAACCCGGAGGAGUCGGCCGAAACUGGUGUUCUUGAGGGAGGCAGAGGAGUCUGGAAUUCCCGGUGUAGCGGUGAAAUGUGUAGAGAUCGGGAGGAACACCGGUGGCGAAGGCGGGACUCUGGGCCUACCCUGACGCUGAGGCGCGAAGGCGUGGGGAGCGAACAGG
This 253-nucleotide ribosomal RNA is filed under the name uncultured bacterium. RNAcentral describes it as "partial 16S ribosomal RNA". It matches the Rfam family "Bacterial small subunit ribosomal RNA", at positions 524 to 776 of the family's 1533-position model. The record is from RNAcentral.